GGAGUGGGACGCGUAGUGUCAGUGCAGCGGCCUAGCCUUUCCCCACCCCUGCUUUUUCCCUCCCUCUCCUCCUCCCCUCCCCCUCCCGUCCACGCCCCGGCUUGUCGCAGUGCAGCGUCCCCCCCCCCCCAGCCCUCCCAGCGUCUCGUCUCCUAGCAACCAACUCCAACCACAGGGGGCCUGGGUAACUAGCCCCAGGCCCAGAAAAAAAGGGGAAGCAGUUGGGGGAUUAGAGAUGAAAAAUUAAGAAUACAAAGUUAAGUGAUUUCUGCCUCCCAAUUUCAAGAACACUUGACCAUUUCUGAAGCUGAUAUGAUACCUCAGAGCAGAGAUGCUAUAGUGGUACAGGGUCACUUACAGAAGGAAAGAAGUAAUCUGAAUAAAUCGAAGAGCUUGAACUGAAGAAUUCAUGGGUCAAUUUAUGUUGGGUAUUGUUGAGACACAAGAGUCAUAAAAAGAUGGUACAUAGAACACAUUGCCUGAGAGAGAGAAAAAAAUCAAUGUUUACUUCUAAAGAAGAGCUUAAUUUUUCAAUUUUGUAUCCAUAAAACUCUUAUUGCUGUCUCAAUAUAAAAAUUUCAAAUUUAAACUAGUUCAUACAUAGAGCUAUGGAAGCUCCCAAAAUUAAAGGGAAAAAACACUUCAUAUCUCUUAAUUCUCAGAAUGAUUCAUUUCUGUACUAGGCAAGGAUAUUCAUUUUCAGGUUCCUUAAUAUAAACAAUAUCUUUAGCUAGAAACGGUCCUAAGAAAUAAUUACUGUGUAUGUUUCGAUUUUUCCCUUCAAAUUUUGAGUCCUUUGCCUCUUGACAUAUACCUCCCCCAAUCCCCUUCACUUCCACAGAAAAUUCCCUCAUGGCUUCAAAAUUUCUAGAAAUUUUAUAUUUCUCUUCACACUCAACAAUCCUUUUCUUCCAACUGGCAUUAAGGUACAGGUAAAGUACUUGUAAAAUUCCUGUUAAUGAAAUUUCCGUUAAGAUAUGUUACCAUAAUAUAAUUUCAUUCAUUCAAAUUUAAUGCCAUUAAACUAAAUCAUUCAAGUUUACUUAUAUUACAAAAAUGAAACUCUAACAUAUUCAACUAUAAUUGAAUAAAAUUUAAAAAUAGAAAAGUAAUUGAAUACAACUCUUCUAGUAAGUUUAAAAUAGUCUUUUUACAUAAGUUUAAAAUUAAUGAGAUUUAAGGAAAUAUUCAAGAAAUUGAAAAAAAAAAUGCAGAAUUUGAAAAAAAUUACUUUUAGUACAUGUAUAUUCCAUGAUUUAACCACCCGAAAAACAGAUCAAUUCAUCCUUCUGUUUUAGAUAAAUCGGCACAAAAUUGUACAUGAGAGACCUUUUGGGGAAGAAAAAAAAGAUAAGUUUAAUUUCUUUCUUCUGGAUGAACAUAAAAAUCUCACCAUGCUUUUUGUAAUAAAUGAAUUGUUCUAUUA
This is a non-coding RNA of Monodelphis domestica (gray short-tailed opossum), 1426 nucleotides long. The record is from RefSeq and is a predicted model, not a curated record. NCBI's taxonomy places the organism in Eukaryota, Metazoa, Chordata, Mammalia, Didelphimorphia, Didelphidae.